GCUAAAAACCUAGCUCAAAUUUACGCAAAUGCCACAACCAAACAACUGUAACCAAACAAAACAUUUUAAAUUUUUAGUAAAGGCGAUUGAAAAAUACCUAGAAGCUAUAACAAUAGUACCGCAAGGGAAAAGUGAAAUAAAAGUGAAAUAACUUUAAAGCAAGACUAAGCAGAGAUUCAACCUCGUACCUUUUGCAUCAUGGUCUAGCUAGUUCAACCAAGCAAAACGCAAUUGUAGUUUGACACCCCGAAACUAGGUGAGCUACUUCAAAACAGCCUUUAAGGGCCAACCCGUCUCUGUUGCAAAAGAGUGGGAAGAUUUUCAAGUAGAGGUGAUAGACCUACCGAACCUAGAGAUAGCUGGUUAUUCAGGAAAAGGAUUUAAGUCCUACCUUAAGUUUUUCUAUACCUCAAAAUAUACCAAUAAACUUAAGAGCCAUUCAAAUAAGGUACAGCCUAUUUGAAACAGGAAACAACCUUAAACACAGGGUAAUGAUAUUCUAAACGUGACCAAGUGGGCCUAAAAGCAGCCAACUUUUAAACAGCGUUAAAGCUUCAUCACUUUAUUUAACUAAUAACCUUAAUAUUACAAAACCCUUUAUCACUACUGAAUGACUCCAUAACUAUAUGGAGAACACUAUGCUAGAACUAGUAACAAGAAGAAGACCUCCUCCAAAAUGUAAGUGUAAGCCAAAAUGAACACCUCACUGGCACUUAUCGUCUUUGAACUUAAAGUAGUAACCCCACAAGAAAAUUCUACUCAUACAAACGUUAACCUUACACCAGAACAUUACCGGAAAGAUUAAAAAAAGAGGAAGGAACUCGGCAAAUUUUAACCCCGCCUGUUUACCAAAAACAUCGCCUCCUGAAAUAACUAUAGGAGGUCCAGCCUGCCCAGUGACUAAGUUAAACGGCCGCGGUACCCUAACCGUGCGAAGGUAGCGCAAUCACUUGUUCUUUAAAUGAGGACUAGUAUGAAUGGCAUCACGAGGGUUAUACUGUCUCCCUCUUUCAAUCAGUGAAACUGAUCUUCCCGUGAAGAAGCGGGAAUACAUCUAUAAGACGAGAAGACCCCAUGGAGCUUUAAACUCAGUACCAACUGCCCUCCUAAUAUACCCUCCUAAUUAAACAGACAUGGCUACUAGUUUUCGGUUGGGGUGACCGCGGAGCAAAACAAAACCUCCACGAUGAAAGGAAUUAACCUCCUAAUCAAAGAGCUACAUCUCUAAGAAUCAACAAAUUGACAUUUAUUGAUCCAAUUUUUUUGAUCAACGAACCAAGUUACCCUGGGGAUAACAGCGCAAUCCAUUUCAAGAGCCCCUAUCGACAAAUGGGUUUACGACCUCGAUGUUGGAUCAGGGUAUCCCAGUGGUGCAGCCGCUACUAAAGGUUCGUUUGUUCAACGAUUAAAACCCU
RNAcentral lists this ribosomal RNA (1415 nucleotides) under Scaphiophryne boribory. Its description in RNAcentral is "partial large subunit ribosomal RNA". It matches the Rfam family "Bacterial large subunit ribosomal RNA", at positions 165 to 2597 of the family's 2925-position model. The record is from RNAcentral. Lineage: Eukaryota; Metazoa; Chordata; Amphibia; Anura; Microhylidae.